CAGAGUGUAGCUUAACACAAAGCACCCAACU
RNAcentral lists this non-coding RNA (31 nucleotides) under Homo sapiens (human). Lineage: Eukaryota; Metazoa; Chordata; Mammalia; Primates; Hominidae. The record is from RNAcentral.